This 564-nucleotide ribosomal RNA is filed under the name uncultured Glomeromycotina. Its description in RNAcentral is "SSU rRNA". It matches the Rfam family "Eukaryotic small subunit ribosomal RNA", at positions 548 to 1114 of the family's 1831-position model. Lineage: Eukaryota; Fungi; Glomeromycota. The record is from RNAcentral.
UUGGAGGGCAAGUCUGGUGCCCGCAGCCGCGGUAUUCCAGCUCCAAUAGCGUAUAUUAAAGUUGUUGCAGUUAAGAAGCUCGUAUUUGAAUUUCGGGGUCAGUAGGUUGGUCAUGCCACUGGUAUGUACUGGCCUCACUGAUUCCUCCUUCCUGAUGAACUGUAAUGCCAUUAAUUUGGUGUUGCGGGGAAUUUGGACUGUUACUUUGAAAAAAUUAGAGUGUUUAAAGCAGGCUAACGCCUGAAUACAUUAACAUGGAAUAAUGAAAUAGGACGUUCGAUCCUAUUUUGUUGGUUUCUAGGAUUGACGUAAUGAUUAAUAGGGAUAGUUGGGGGCAUUACUAUUCAAUUGUCACAGGUGAAAUUCUUGGAUUUAUUGAAGACUAACUACUGCGAAAGCAUUUGCCAAGGAUGUUUUCAUUAAUCAGAAACGAAAGUUUGGGGAUCGAAGACGAUCAGAUACCGUCGUAGUCUUAACCAUAAACUAUGCCGACUAGGGAUCUGAUGAUGUUAAUUUUUUAAUGACUCAUUCCGCGCCUUACGGGAAACCAAAGUGUUUGGGUUC